Molecule: ribosomal RNA, 364 nt
Filed under: uncultured Bacteroidales bacterium
Lineage: Bacteria; Pseudomonadati; Bacteroidota; Bacteroidia; Bacteroidales
Description: bacterial SSU rRNA
Rfam family: Bacterial small subunit ribosomal RNA
Source: RNAcentral
AGGAUGCGAGCGUUAUCCGGAUUUAUUGGGUUUAAAGGGUGCGUAGGCGGCAUUAUAAGUUAGUGGUAAAAUAUUGGGGCUUCACCUCACUACGCCAUUAAUACUGUAGAGCUAGAGAACAGACGAGGUAGGCGGAAUAAGUUAAGUAGCGGUGAAAUGCAUAGAUAUAACUUAGAACACCGAUAGCGAAGGCAGCUUACCAGACUGAGUCUGACGCUGAUGCACGAGAGCAUGGGUAGCGAACAGGAUUAGAUACCCUGGUAGUCCAUGCCGUAAACGAUGCUCACUGGCCUUAGGCGAUAUAUGGUCUGAGGUUAAGCGAAAGUAUUAAGUGAGCCACCUGGGGAGUACGUCGGCAACGAUG